AGACCCCCACCUCCAACUGAUUGAUUGUGCAUAGGAAGCUGGCAGCACUCAGAGCCCUGCUACGGGAGGAAGGUGGGAUUGGUCUUCACUAUGUGGCUCCAGUCAUAGCCCAACAAGAAAGGUUUCAGCAGAGAUUUCAGCACAGACAUUAAGGGAGAGGGCGCAGAAAGCAAGUAUGCACACCAGCACACUGACGGGGCUUCCUGAGAGAUGCUCACCAGGACCAGCUUCGUAAAGAAAUCUCAGCGUUCCAAAUUCCCUUUAAAAAACAUAUUUAUUCCAUUAUACAGGGUUGUGUAAGAUAUUUCC
Molecule: long non-coding RNA, 309 nt
Filed under: Mus spicilegus (steppe mouse)
Lineage: Eukaryota; Metazoa; Chordata; Mammalia; Rodentia; Muridae
Description: lncRNA (ENSMSIG00000023033.1)
Source: RNAcentral